GCGGCUAUAGCUCAGUUGGGAGAGCAUCAGACUGAAGAUCUGAAGGUCCCGCGUUCAAUUCGAGGUGGGCGCA
Molecule: transfer RNA, 73 nt
Filed under: Entomophthora muscae
Lineage: Eukaryota; Fungi; Entomophthoromycota; Entomophthoromycetes; Entomophthorales; Entomophthoraceae
Description: tRNA-Phe
Rfam family: tRNA
About the family: Transfer RNA (tRNA) molecules are approximately 80 nucleotides in length. Their secondary structure includes four short double-helical elements and three loops (D, anti-codon, and T loops). Further hydrogen bonds mediate the characteristic L-shaped molecular structure. tRNAs have two regions of fundamental functional importance: the anti-codon, which is responsible for specific mRNA codon recognition, and the 3' end, to which the tRNAs corresponding amino acid is attached (by aminoacyl-tRNA synthetases). tRNAs cope with the degeneracy of the genetic code in two manners: having more than one tRNA (with a specific anti-codon) for a particular amino acid; and 'wobble' base-pairing, i.e. permitting non-standard base-pairing at the 3rd anti-codon position.
Source: RNAcentral